UACGGAGGGUGCAAGCGUUAUCCGGAAUCAUUGGGUUUAAAGGGUCCGCAGGCGGUGCUAUAAGUCAGUGGUGAAAUCUCAUAGCUUAACUAUGAAACUGCCAUUGAUACUGUAGCACUUGAAUUCGGUCGAAGUGGGCGGAAUAUGACAUGUAGCGGUGAAAUGCAUAGAUAUGUCAUAGAACACCGAUAGCGAAGGCAGCUCACUAGGCCUGGAUUGACGCUCAGGGACGAAAGCGUGGGGAGCAAACAGGAUUAGAUACCCUGGUAGUCCACGCCGUAAACUAUCAAUACUCGUUUUCAGCGAUAUACAGUUGGAGACUAAGCGAAAGUGAUAAGUAUUGCACCUGGGGAGUACGAUCGCAAGGUUG
Molecule: ribosomal RNA, 370 nt
Filed under: uncultured prokaryote
Description: bacterial SSU rRNA
Rfam family: Bacterial small subunit ribosomal RNA
Source: RNAcentral